AACGAACGCUGGCGGCAUGCCUAACACAUGCAAGUCGAACGAGACCUUCGGGUCUAGUGGCGCACGGGUGCGUAACGCGUGGGAACCUGCCCUUAGGUUCGGAAUAACUCCCCGAAAGGGGUGCUAAUACCGGAUAAUGUCUUCGGACCAAAGAUUUAUCGCCUUUGGAUGGGCCCGCGUUGGAUUAGCUAGUUGGUAGGGUAAAAGCCUACCAAGGCGACGAUCCAUAGCUGGUCUGAGAGGAUGAUCAGCCACACUGGGACUGAGACACGGCCCAGACUCCUACGGGAGGCAGCAGUGGGGAAUAUUGGACAAUGGGCGAAAGCCUGAUCCAGCAAUGCCGCGUGAGUGAUGAAGGCCUUAGGGUUGUAAAGCUCUUUUACCCGGGAUGAUAAUGACAGUACCGGGAGAAUAAGCUCCAGCUAACUCCGUG
RNAcentral lists this ribosomal RNA (433 nucleotides) under uncultured bacterium. Its description in RNAcentral is "partial 16S ribosomal RNA". It matches the Rfam family "Bacterial small subunit ribosomal RNA", at positions 29 to 507 of the family's 1533-position model. The record is from RNAcentral.